CAACUUUCAACAACGGAUCUCUUGGCUCUCGCAUCGAUGAAGAACGCAGCGAAAUGCGAUAAGUAAUGUGAAUUGCAGAAUUCAGUGAAUCAUCGAAUCUUUGAACGCACCUUGCGCUCCUUGGUAUUCCGAGGAGCAUGCCUGUUUGAGUGUCUUG
This 157-nucleotide ribosomal RNA is filed under the name uncultured Ascomycota. RNAcentral's name for it is "5.8S ribosomal RNA". It matches the Rfam family "5.8S ribosomal RNA". From Rfam's summary of the family: 5.8S ribosomal RNA (5.8S rRNA) is a component of the large subunit of the eukaryotic ribosome. Lineage: Eukaryota; Fungi; Ascomycota. The record is from RNAcentral.